Molecule: long non-coding RNA, 640 nt
Organism: Cynoglossus semilaevis (tongue sole)
Lineage: Eukaryota; Metazoa; Chordata; Actinopteri; Pleuronectiformes; Cynoglossidae
Exons: 4
Source: RefSeq, a predicted model, not a curated record
GGCGACUGUACCUGGUGGGACAGUCCACUCUGCAGGACACUGUUCCUGGCUAUUUCACAGACAUCGCAGGUGCUGAGUUUCCACAGCUGAGCGGCUAUGGCGUAUUCUUCCAUGAGUGGUUCCUGAAUUGAGUGGAACUGCAUUGGAUCGUCAGUGGACAGGGACACACACAGACCUUUCUGCAGAAACUCUCUGAAGGGGUUUUUGGAGUAUUUCAAGAAAAGACUGUUGUUGCUCAGUGGAGACAUUGCAAUUGGCAUUUGGGCCAAGUAGUACAGGUUGAGUCCAUGUGAGAUGUUGUCAGCAGCCAGGAACGCAGAGACCAAAUGAGUGACUGAUCCAGCUUCUCCACAAUGUGGACGGAACUGAAAGGUGCCAAGUCCAAGCUCUCUGAAGAAAACACACAAAGGACAGAGGAAACAGACUGAGAAGGUUUAGGAGUGCUCCAAAGAAUGAGCGUCCUGCCUGCAGUCCAGAGAGUGAAGAAUCUACAGAGCUUCAACCAUCACUGUAUUCAGUUCCUGGAAGACAGGUGAGGUAACACCGUGGUAGACAUGCUGCUGUCCAGGCUUUGGAACAUUUUUACAGGUAUUAAGAAAAAAAAAACAUUAUGUCUCCUACUGCUUGUUUGUAAUUUCUC